This is a long non-coding RNA of Eleginops maclovinus (Patagonian blennie), 222 nucleotides long. RefSeq lists it as uncharacterized. The transcript has 3 exons. NCBI's taxonomy places the organism in Eukaryota, Metazoa, Chordata, Actinopteri, Perciformes, Eleginopidae. The record is from RefSeq and is a predicted model, not a curated record.
GACCGGAAAUGUCUACGACUGAUGGACUCUUCAAGUGUUGAGACAGAAGAUGACGCAAAUGUUCAUCAAUCAAGGCCGCGUAGACGCCCAAGGAGAUUCAAUUCAGACUCCUCUAGUGAUGAUGAUUCCAAUCCAACGGCAAGAAAGCAGUCCAGGACUGUGGGUAUGUCUGGAAGCCCUGUGGGUCAGCAGAUUUCUCUGCCUACACCACCGGCAUGUAAG